Molecule: transfer RNA, 68 nt
Filed under: Owenia fusiformis
Lineage: Eukaryota; Metazoa; Annelida; Polychaeta; Sabellida; Oweniidae
Description: tRNA-Ser
Source: RNAcentral
GUUUACUUAUCUUAGGAGAAAAUAUGUUUUGAAAACAUUAAAAGGACGUUYGAAUCGUUCMGUAAAWU